Molecule: ribosomal RNA, 506 nt
Filed under: uncultured bacterium
Lineage: Bacteria
Description: partial 16S ribosomal RNA
Rfam family: Bacterial small subunit ribosomal RNA
Source: RNAcentral
AGUGAACGCUGGCGGUAUGCCUAACACAUGCAAGUCGAACGGCAGCACAGGAGAGCUUGCUCUCUGGGUGGCGAGUGGCGGACGGGUGAGGAAUACAUCGGAAUCUACUUUUUCGUGGGGGAUAACGUAGGGAAACUUACGCUAAUACCGCAUACGACCUACGGGUGAAAGCAGGGGAUCUUCGGACCUUGCGCGAUUGAAUGAGCCGAUGUCGGAUUAGCUAGUUGGCGGGGUAAAGGCCCACCAAGGCGACGAUCCGUAGCUGGUCGGAGAGGAUGAUCAGCCACACUGGAACUGAGACACGGUCCAGACUCCUACGGGAGGCAGCAGUGGGGAAUAUUGGACAAUGGGCGCAAGCCUGAUCCAGCCAUACCGCGUGGGUGAAGAAGGCCUUCGGGUUGUAAAGCCCUUUUGUUGGGAAAGAAAUCCAGCUGGUUAAUACCCGGUUGGGAUGACGGUACCCAAAGAAUAAGCACCGGCUAACUUCGUGCCAGCAGCCGCCGUAA